CGGGACGGGUGAGUAACGCGUGGGUAACCUGCCUCAUACAGGGGGAUAACAGUUAGAAAUGACUGCUAAUACCGCAUAAGCGCACGGGACUGCAUGGUCCAGUGUGAAAAACUCCGGUGGUAUGAGAUGGACCCGCGUCUGAUUAGCUAGUUGGUGGGGUAAGGGCUCACCAAGGCGACGAUCAGUAGCCGGCCUGAGAGGGUGACCGGCCACAUUGGGACUGAGACACGGCCCAAACUCCUACGGGAGGCAGCAG
This 256-nucleotide ribosomal RNA is filed under the name uncultured bacterium. RNAcentral's name for it is "partial 16S ribosomal RNA". It matches the Rfam family "Bacterial small subunit ribosomal RNA", at positions 98 to 354 of the family's 1533-position model. The record is from RNAcentral.